GUCUUUGCUUGAUGUAUUUGUUCAUCGUCAAGUCAAUCAUGAAUCUCAAUCUAAUACCCUCCGCUGAAGAAACAGAGUUGUUCAUUGGUCGGUGUGUCUGUUUCGCCGUCUGUUAUGCUUAUGUUUACUUGUUAUGUAACAUGCCGACUCAUAAAUAAAGCUUUGAAUUGAAUGAAUUGAAUAUGCAUCCGUUUGUAAGUUGAUUCCGUUUGUAAGUUGAUGAAGUAGAACUAUCGGCACACUUUGC
This 247-nucleotide long non-coding RNA is filed under the name Mytilus galloprovincialis (Mediterranean mussel). The record is from RNAcentral. Lineage: Eukaryota; Metazoa; Mollusca; Bivalvia; Mytilida; Mytilidae.